RNAcentral lists this long non-coding RNA (639 nucleotides) under Mus musculus (house mouse). Its description in RNAcentral is "long non-coding RNA chr17:28695101-28695740". The record is from RNAcentral. Lineage: Eukaryota; Metazoa; Chordata; Mammalia; Rodentia; Muridae.
CGAGACAGCUCAUUUUGUCAUUGGGCUUGUAGAAGAAUGGAUGGAUUUAAUGGCUGCAUUUUAUGGGUUGCUUGCUGUGUUGUAGGCAUGGAGAUGCUUAGUUUAUGAUCGGCAUGUAGACAUGUAACAAACUUGUAGCUAAACAUGGUAAUUUCUUCUAACUAAAUCUGAUUUAGCAUGCUAUAUAGGACAAGAUUAUUCCAGUAAAUAUAACAAAAAUAAAUGAAGCUUUUUUUUUUUAAGUAUUAAUAGCCAUUCACCAUUAGUUUUAAUUAGCCAGGGAAAAAAAAUAAAACUCCACAAUUAGGUAUGACUUUUCACUCUUGACGACCGAGAAGGCUGGGCCUUUACUAUUAGUUGUAAUAAUAGCCGGUCUCUCUUCCUUCCCUUCCUGCCUUUCUUCCUACUUUCCUUCAGGACACAGCCUUCUGGUCUUGAACUCUUGAUCCACUUGUCUGAGGCUCUCUAAUGCUAGGGUCAUAGGAGUGGGCCACCAAGCUGCUUUAGCUGACCUAUCUCCCAUUUACUGUUUUGUGACUAAAAGUAGACUAGUUAACUGGAUGUUACCAGUCUUAAUAAGCAUUUAGGUUUGAGGCCAACCUAGCCUCACUCAGCAGAGUGAACUCAGUGCCCUUUCUC